Molecule: long non-coding RNA, 580 nt
Organism: Alligator mississippiensis (American alligator)
Lineage: Eukaryota; Metazoa; Chordata; Crocodylia; Alligatoridae
Exons: 2
Source: RefSeq, a predicted model, not a curated record
UGACAUGACUCUUACAUUCAUUUUGGUCAUAUCCAGUUCGCUGUUCACCUUCCCGAUCUGUUCAGGACAACGGGACAGAAUGGCAUACAGAGGGAUGGAGAAGACCUGAAGAGUCAACCUACUCCAGUUCAACCCCCUGACUGCAUUCAGGAUUUGCUGUUCUCUAAACAUGAAUUCUUGAGAAAGACAGACAAGAUCACUUCUGCGCCAAGAAAAAUGGAAGAUGUUAUCUAAGGAUUGGAAAACCUUUUUGUAGAGAGGUGCUUCUGCUCCAUGUGCUCUUGAAGGUCUCCUCUAGGAUGACAAUUCCCUUUCUACAUGAGCUACCCGACCCUUUAGCAGCGCUCAAAGCAGCAGGAACAAGAAGGAAGAGCAAGCUUCAAAGCUCGUGCUCACUUUUCUCCUACAGUUCUGAAAAGGAGGACUGCCAUCAGGGAGGGAUGUCCUGGGGGCAGGUUGACAACUUUCCACAAAUCCUUCCUAGUUUUUUCCCAUUGUCUCCUGCAUCUUGCUGCUCAUGUAAGUACAAAAGGAAUAAAGACAAAGGGCAUCUUAACAAGAUGACCUCCCAUAAAUCGUU